Molecule: ribosomal RNA, 253 nt
Filed under: uncultured bacterium
Lineage: Bacteria
Description: partial 16S ribosomal RNA
Rfam family: Bacterial small subunit ribosomal RNA
Source: RNAcentral
UACGGAGGAUCCAAGCGUUAUCCGGAUUCAUUGGGUUUAAAGGGUGCGUAGGCGGCAUGAUAAGUCAGUGGUGAAAUCCUGCAGCUUAACUGCAGAACUGCCAUUGAUACUGUCAAUCUUGAGUACAUUUGAUGAGGGCGGAAUGUGUCAUGUAGCGGUGAAAUGCUUAGAUAUGACACAGAACACCGAUUGCGAAGGCAGCUCUCAAAACUGUAACUGACGCUGAGGCACGAAAGCGUGGGUAUCAAACAGG